RNAcentral lists this ribosomal RNA (168 nucleotides) under Trimma macrophthalmum (bigeye dwarf goby). Its description in RNAcentral is "partial 12S ribosomal RNA". The record is from RNAcentral. Lineage: Eukaryota; Metazoa; Chordata; Actinopteri; Gobiiformes; Gobiidae.
CACCGCGGUUAUACGAUGCGCCCAAGUUGACAGCUUUCGGCAUAAAGCGUGGUUAGUUAACACCGAGACUAAAGUCGAACCCAUUCAAAUCUGUUGUACGAUUACGAAAUGGAGAAGCCCAACAACGAAAGUGACUUUAAGAUAAAUGAAGCCACGAAAGCUAAGAAA